GUGCCAGUAGCCGCGGUAAUACGUAGGGGGCGAGCGUUGUCCGAAGUUACUGGGCGUAAAGCGCGCGUAGGCGGUUAUUCAAGUCUGGGGUGAAAGGUUCAGCGCUCAACGUGAACAGUGCCUUGGAUACUGGAUGACUUGAGUCUGGGAGGGGGAAGGGGAAUUCCUGGUGUAGCGGUGAAAUGCGUAGAUAUCAGGAGGAACACCGGUGGCGAAGGCGCCUUCCUGGCCUAAGACUGACGCUGAGGUGCGAAAGCGUGGGGAGCAAACGGGAUUAGAUACCCCGGUAGUCCACGCCGUAAACAAUGAGUGCUAGGUGUCGGGGGUAUCGACCCCCCCGGUGCCGUCGCUAACGCAUUAAGCACUCCGCCUGGGGAGUACGGCCGCAAGGUUGAAACUCAAAUGAAUUGACGG
Molecule: ribosomal RNA, 414 nt
Filed under: uncultured bacterium
Lineage: Bacteria
Description: bacterial SSU rRNA
Rfam family: Bacterial small subunit ribosomal RNA
Source: RNAcentral